This 465-nucleotide ribosomal RNA is filed under the name uncultured bacterium. Its description in RNAcentral is "partial 16S ribosomal RNA". It matches the Rfam family "Bacterial small subunit ribosomal RNA", at positions 28 to 507 of the family's 1533-position model. The record is from RNAcentral.
GACGAACGCUGGCGGCGUGCUUAACACAUGCAAGUCGAACGGAAAGGCCCUGCUUGCAGGGUACUCGAGUGGCGAACGGGUGAGUAACACGUGGGUGUUCUGCCCUGCACUUCUGGAUAUGCCUGGGAAACUGGGUCUAAUACCGGAUAUGAGCCAUCUUGCGUGAGAUGGUUGGAAAGUUUUUUCGGUGUAGGGUGAGCUCGCGGCCUAUCAGCUUGUUGGUGGGGUAAUGGCCUACCAAGGCGGCGACGGGUAGCCGGCCUGGGAGGGUGGACGGCCACAUUGGGAAUGAGAUACGGCCCAGACUCCUACGGGAGGCAGCAGGGGGGAAUAUUGCACAAUGGGCGGAAGCCUGAUGCAGCGACGCCGCGUGGGGGAUGACGGCCUUCGGGUUGGAAACUCCUUUCGCUAGGGACGAAGCUUUUUGUGACGGUACCUAGAUAAGAAGCACCGGCUAACUACGUG